This 459-nucleotide ribosomal RNA is filed under the name uncultured bacterium. RNAcentral's name for it is "partial 16S ribosomal RNA". It matches the Rfam family "Bacterial small subunit ribosomal RNA", at positions 338 to 795 of the family's 1533-position model. The record is from RNAcentral.
CCUACGGGAGGCAGCAGUGAGGAAUAUUGGUCAAUGGGCGCGAGCCUGAACCAGCCAAGUCGCGUGAGGGAAGACGGUCCUAUGGAUUGUAAACCUCUUUUGUCGGGGAGCAAAAGACGCCACGCGUGGCGUUCCGAGAGUACCCGACGAAAAAGCAUCGGCUAACUCCGUGCCAGCAGCCGCGGUAAUAUGGAGGUUGCGAGCGUUAUCCGGCUUUAUUGGGUUUAAAGGGUGCGCAGGCGGAAGAUCAAGUCAGCGGUAAAAUUGAGAGGCUCAACCUCUUCGAGCCGUUGAAACUGGUGUUCUUGAGUGAGUGAGAAGUAUGCGGAAUGCGUGGUGUAGCGGUGAAAUGCAUAGAUAUCACGCAGAACUCCGAUUGCGAAGGCAGCAUACCGGCGCUCAACUGACGCUCAUGCACGAAAGUGUGGGUAUCGAACAGGAUUAGAUACCCGGGUAGUC